Non-coding RNA from Pelobates cultripes (western spadefoot toad), 300 nucleotides. Lineage: Eukaryota; Metazoa; Chordata; Amphibia; Anura; Pelobatidae. The record is from the annotation of a GenBank genome assembly.
CUCAAUUCAAUCUCCAGGAUAGAAGACUCUGAAACUGGUUUGGGCCGGAAAGCCAUGCUUCAUUUAGUCACAAAGGACUUUCCCUUAACUUUUGAACCCCUGGUCUGAUUUGUGCCAUUUUUUAAUAUGUUGUUCCCCUGAAUGGAUUGAUUAUGAAAAUGUAUGUUUUAUGUUUGUGACAUGUAUAUUUUUAGAAGUUAUAAAUAUUGUGUAAAAACUGUAUUCCUCUGCCGGUGAUAAUGAGAUUACCCAUUGUGUUCAGUAAUCAUAUCACAGGCAGAGGGGAGGAUUUUGUGUGGG